RNAcentral lists this ribosomal RNA (1219 nucleotides) under uncultured organism. RNAcentral describes it as "bacterial SSU rRNA". It matches the Rfam family "Bacterial small subunit ribosomal RNA", at positions 227 to 1431 of the family's 1533-position model. The record is from RNAcentral.
CGGUCCAUGUCCUAUCAGCUUGUUGGUGAGGUAAUGGCUCACCAAGGCGACGACGGGUACCGGGACUGAGAGGUUGACCCGGCGCAUCGGGACUGAGACACUGCCCGGACUCCUACGGGAGGCUGCAGUAACGAAUAUUGGUCAAUGGGCGAAAGCCUGAACCAGCGACGCCGCGUGUGGGAGGAAGCCCUUCGGGGUGUAAACCACUGUCAGGGAUUACCAAGCAAUGGAGGCUAAUACCCUCCUGCGUUGAGGCGUCCCAGAGGAAGUCACGGCUAACUUCGUGCCAGCAGCCGCGGUAAUACGAAGGUGGCGAGCGUUGUUCGGAAUCACUGGGCUUAAAGAGCACGUAGGCGGACUGCCAAGCGUCUUGUGAAAUCCCCCGGCUCAACCGGGGAAUUGCUGGGCGAACUGGUAGUCUUGAGGCAAGUAGGGGCAGAUGGAACUCUUGGUGGAGCGGUGGAAUGCGUAGAUAUCAAGAGGAACGCCAGAGGCGAAGGCGAUCUGCUGGGCUUGACCUGACGCUGAGGUGCGAAAGCCAGGGGAGCAAACGGGAUUAGAUACCCCGGUAGUCCUGGCCAUAAACGAUGUCCACUAGAUCGGUGAACUUCUGACAGUGUGCCGGUCGAAACAAAAGCGUUAAGUGGACCGCCUGGGGAGUACGGUCGCAAGGCUAAAACUCAAAGGAAUUGACGGGGGCUCACACAAGCGGUGGAGCAUGUUGCUUAAUUCGAUGCAACGCGAAGAACCUUAUCCUGGGCUUGACAUGCUUGGAUGCCCAUCUGGAAACAGAGUAGGCUGCCCUUCGGGGUGAAACUUGCACAGGUGCUGCAUGGCUGUCGUCAGCUCGUGUCGUGAGAUGUUGGGUUAAGUCCCGUAACGAGCGAAACCCUUGUCGUUAGUUGCCAGCGCGUAAUGGCGGGGACUCUAGCGAGACUGCCGGUGUUAAACCGGAGGAAGGUGGGGAUGACGUCAAGUCCUCAUGGCCUUUAUGCCCAGGGCUGCAAACGUGCUACAAUGGCGAGGACAAACCGACGCAAAGCCGCGAGGUCGAGCAAAUCGGAGAAACCUUGCCCCAGUUCGGAUUGGAGUCUGCAACUCGACUCCACGAAGUCGGGAUCGCUAGUAAUCGCGUAUCAGCGUGACGCGGUGAAUAUGUUCCUGAGCAUUGUACACACCGCCCGUCAAGUCAUGGAAGCUGGGAGCGCCCGAAGUCGGG